GGAAAACUCAACGACAGCGUGAAAGCUCCAUAUAUUUUAACAAUCAUCGUGUUGGGCAGAUUUCUAAUGCAAAUGAUAAGAUUUGAACAAAGAAAAGGAAAAACGAUUCUCACCUUGGAAAAUCGAAAUCGAAAUCUUCAACAUAUUUAACAUUAAAACGUAACGGGACCGUUACGUGUAUAUGUUAAGGCAAAUAAAUUAGUAAUCUCGCAGGAUAAGAUGGAGUGGAACUUGACCUUAAACCAUGUAUAUAAAGGCCAAGGUUGUUUGUAGUACCCAAAUCUCCUUCACCAUCAGCCAUCAAGUUCGCGCUAGAGCUUUAUUCAAAUACAUGUACUUAUAUGCAUCUAGACUUUGUGUACAUGACAUAAAGAGGAUUAUUAAAAUCUUAAGCAGCCUGUUGGAUUAAUAAUAGAAGAUAUUAUUAAGCACAUGGUAAGCCAAAAGUCGUUAGAUCCUUUUAAAGGAAUUGUAUAGAAAUUUCAGUUUCUUUCCAUAAAUACUCCCUUUUAAUAUUAUUGUAAGAAUUAAAGCUAAAAUAAGGAGAAAAAGCACUUUAUUUAUUGUAAUUAACACCGACGUUUCGCCUUUUGAUAUAAGACCCUUUUGCAGUCUACCUUGAAAAAUAUUUAUACCAAAAGAUAAUACGUCGAUGUUGGUUACCAUAAAUAAAGCGAUUUUUGCCACCAUUUUAGCUUUAAUUUUUACAGUUUUAUUGAUAUUAAUAUUUACCUUAAUUGCCGAAAUUAUGCAUACAAGAAAAGUACUUCUGUUUUUCAAAAAUAUUAAAUGUUU
This is a long non-coding RNA of Agrilus planipennis (emerald ash borer), 795 nucleotides long. RefSeq lists it as uncharacterized. NCBI's taxonomy places the organism in Eukaryota, Metazoa, Arthropoda, Insecta, Coleoptera, Buprestidae. The record is from RefSeq and is a predicted model, not a curated record. The transcript has 3 exons.